GUUCCACCUUCUCUUACCUUGAUCUGCAACAUAUACAAACACUUGUGAGUAUAAAACUAAAUACAAGAAGUCAAAUGCUUUCCUGACCUUCUUUUGUCCAAAGAGAUUAUCACUUUAGAAAGACAGCUCUAUGUUUCCAAACCUAUGCUGACACAUGUAAAAAAUUGACAUAUGCAUCAUGGAAAAAAUUGACAUAUGCAAAAAGAUGUUCUAUACUAUUGUUCUUUCUCUCAAUCAACCCAUCACACGGUGACGCAUGCAAAAAGUUGACAUAUGCAAAAAGAUAUCCUAUACAAUUGUUCUCUCUCUCAAUCAACCCAUCACACGGUGACGCAUGCAAAAAGUUGACAUAUGCAAAAAGAUAUCCUAUACAAUUGUUCUC
This 382-nucleotide unclassified non-coding RNA is filed under the name Hevea brasiliensis (rubber tree). The record is from RNAcentral. Lineage: Eukaryota; Viridiplantae; Streptophyta; Magnoliopsida; Malpighiales; Euphorbiaceae.